UGGGGAAUAUUGCACAAUGGGGGAAACCCUGAUGCAGCGACGCCGCGUGAAGGACGAAGUAUUUCGGUACGUAAACUUCUAUCAGCAGGGAAGAAAAUGACGGUACCUGACCAAGAAGCCCCGGCUAACUACGUGCCAGCAGCCGCGGUAAUACGUAGGGGGCAAGCGUUAUCCGGAUUUACUGGGUGUAAAGGGAGCGUAGACGGCCGUGCAAGUCUGAUGUGAAAACCCGGGGCUCAACCCCGGGAGUGCAUUGGAAACUGCAUGGCUGGAGUGUCGGAGAGGCAAGUGGAAUUCCUAGUG
This 303-nucleotide ribosomal RNA is filed under the name uncultured bacterium. RNAcentral's name for it is "bacterial SSU rRNA". It matches the Rfam family "Bacterial small subunit ribosomal RNA", at positions 355 to 675 of the family's 1533-position model. The record is from RNAcentral.